AGCAAGCCAGCCAGAGAGCCAGCAAACCACCAACCACUAGAGAGCCCCAGCCAACCAGCUAGCCAAGCACUGACCAACCACGAGCCAGCUACUAGCCACCAACCAUUAACCAACUUGGGAGAAGGGGGUGAACUGGGAUCAGAGCUCUAAUUUCUGAGGAGGUGGGGGAGAGGGGGACGCCAGCCCUGUGGCAGCCUCAGAUCUCUGCACAGGCCCUCUCUCCCUCCUGCGUCCCAGCACCAGGGUUCCUCCCCGACUCCUGCCAUGGCAUUCAGAGUGCUUCUCAUAGUGCAUGCACCCACCUUGGCUCCUGACCUGACACUGAGGGCUCACGCCUCUCAUCGGCAACCCAAGCAAGCGGGAACACUCCGCUUCUCCCUCAGCCCCCACGGGCCUCAUCCACAGCCAGCACAGCUCAGGAUUUCCUGCUUCACCCAUCGGCGGCCUCUAUCAGCGUGAGUGGUGCCUGGAGCUUGGCACAGGAGCUGCUCUGGUCCCCUGCCCACAUCACCUCCUUCGCUUCCUGGCCUGACUGGUUCACCUCGAUGCCACUACUCCUUGAUGCAGGUGGGUGGCACACAGGAAAAAGGGGGGAGAAGGAGGCAAGAGCAGCUGGCACUCCCCUGCUCCUCCACUGAAGCAUGGGGCUGCCAUCUUGGUCCCCUUCUGCUCUUUCCUGCUCCCCAGAGUUGCCAACUGCUGAGGAAGAAUUUCACAAACACUGGGAAAAGAAUUUCUGGCUGUCAAAUUGAUCUAAUGGCAUAAUUUCACAUAAUAAAAUAUGGUUCAGAAAAACCUAAAAAA
Ornithorhynchus anatinus (platypus) is the source of this 804-nucleotide long non-coding RNA. RefSeq lists it as uncharacterized. NCBI's taxonomy places the organism in Eukaryota, Metazoa, Chordata, Mammalia, Monotremata, Ornithorhynchidae. The transcript is spliced from 2 exons. The record is from RefSeq and is a predicted model, not a curated record.